Molecule: long non-coding RNA, 269 nt
Filed under: Elaeis guineensis (African oil palm)
Lineage: Eukaryota; Viridiplantae; Streptophyta; Magnoliopsida; Arecales; Arecaceae
Description: long non-coding RNA (EGUI_LNC068406)
Source: RNAcentral
UUGGUUGUCCUCUUAACCAAGGAGUAUGAAAAUACUGGUAUGGCAUAUAGGUGAGAUGUAAGGAUACAUCUGCACAGAACGUGACCGACUUCGGAGCUAUUUCUGCUGUUAAGAUUUGCUCCGAUGGGAUAUGGGUAUAACUGUCCCUCCAAUCUGAGACAGCCACGGUGACUUGCAAGCAACUCACUGCACUUAGGCACUGGACUACCUGAAUUUCUAAUUCAGUGAUGGAAGGAUGCUGGGUGUAGUCAAGUACUUGACUUGUCGGU